GACGGACACAGAGGCGGACUUGUCCAGCGUGGGCUCCAGACCGGCGAGCCGCCAGGUGUCCUGUUACAUCAGCAGUGACACCACCGAGCUGCCCGAGUUCAAACCCAACGCCAGCUUCAAGUCAGACUCCGGCAUCUUCGAAAAGACGUCCAAUGACACUGACGUCUCCGCGGCGGUAGUCGGUGAACGUGGAAGCAUCCCAGAUACAAAAAUUGCAGAGGCACACGGGAGGAAAAGCACGAUUGGUCGAGUCCCGAGCAUCGUCGUCACGUCUGAGUCCAGUCCCUUCCUUCCCAUUGGACGAAAGGGUUCCACUGCCCGCCCGAAGACAGCCAAUAACAACAACACGGGGGCGGGGUCUGGGUAGAGCGCCUGCAGACGGCGUUCACCUGAAGCUCAGAAACAAAAAUCACACAUUCUCACUCCCACUCACUUGUUAUUGACGCAUAAAGUCUCCUUUGGCGUCACAUUUAGAUGCUCACGGUGUGGUGUGGCGCGCGGCAGCCUGAACUAGGGUUGGGUACC
Sander lucioperca (pikeperch) is the source of this 525-nucleotide long non-coding RNA. RefSeq lists it as uncharacterized. Lineage: Eukaryota; Metazoa; Chordata; Actinopteri; Perciformes; Percidae. The transcript is spliced from 3 exons. The record is from RefSeq and is a predicted model, not a curated record.